This 274-nucleotide ribosomal RNA is filed under the name uncultured bacterium. Its description in RNAcentral is "partial 16S ribosomal RNA". It matches the Rfam family "Bacterial small subunit ribosomal RNA", at positions 523 to 796 of the family's 1533-position model. The record is from RNAcentral.
AUACGGAGGGUGCAAGCGUUAUCCGGAAUCAUUGGGUUUAAAGGGUCCGCAGGCGGACUAAUAAGUCAGUGGUGAAAUCCUCUCGCUUAACGAGAGAACUGCCAUUGAAACUGUUAGUCUUGAAUUCGGUCGAAGUAGGCGGAAUGUGUCAUGUAGCGGUGAAAUGCAUAGAUAUGACACAGAACACCGAUAGCGAAGGCAGCUUACUAGACCUGGAUUGACGCUCAUGGACGAAAGCGUGGGGAGCGAACAGGAUUAGAAACCCCAGUAGUCC